RNAcentral lists this ribosomal RNA (253 nucleotides) under uncultured bacterium. RNAcentral describes it as "partial 16S ribosomal RNA". It matches the Rfam family "Bacterial small subunit ribosomal RNA", at positions 524 to 776 of the family's 1533-position model. The record is from RNAcentral.
UACGGGGGGGGCAAGCGUUGUUCGGAAUUACUGGGCGUAAAGGGCUCGUAGGCGGCCAACUAAGUCGGACGUGAAAUCCCCAGGCUCAACCCGGGAACUGCGUCCGAUACUGGCAGGCUUGAAUUCGGGAGAGGGAUGUGGAAUUCCAGGUGUAGCGGUGAAAUGCGUAGAUAUCUGGAGGAACACCGGUGGCGAAGGCGGCAUCCUGGACCGAUAUUGACGCUGAUGCGCGAAAGCCAGGGGAGCAAACGGG